UCAAGGACCGACUCACAUGAGAUGAAGC
Molecule: non-coding RNA, 28 nt
Filed under: Aedes albopictus (Asian tiger mosquito)
Lineage: Eukaryota; Metazoa; Arthropoda; Insecta; Diptera; Culicidae
Source: RNAcentral